GACGAACGCUGGCGGCGUGCCUAAUACAUGCAAGUAGAACGCUGAAGGAGGAGCUUGCUUCUCUGGAUGGGUUGCGAACGGGUGAGUAACGCGUAGGUAACCUGCCUGGUAGCGGGGGAUAACUAUUGGAAACGAUAGCUAAUACCGCAUAAUAGUAGAUGUUGCAUGACAUUUGCUUAAAAGGUGCAAUUGCAUCACUACCAGAUGGACCUGCGUUGUAUUAGCUAGUUGGUGAGGUAACGGCUCACCAAGGCGACGAUACAUAGCCGACCUGAGAGGGUGAUCGGCCACACUGGGACUGAGACACGGCCCAGACUCCUACGGGAGGCAGCAGUAGGGAAUCUUCGGCAAUGGACGGAAGUCUGACCGAGCAACGCCGCGUGAGUGAAGAAGGUUUUCGGAUCGUAAAGCUCUGUUGUAAGAGAAGAACGAGUGUGAGAGUGGAAAGUUCACACUGUGACGGUAUCUUACCAGAAAGAGACGGCUAACUACGUG
Molecule: ribosomal RNA, 495 nt
Filed under: uncultured bacterium
Lineage: Bacteria
Description: partial 16S ribosomal RNA
Rfam family: Bacterial small subunit ribosomal RNA
Source: RNAcentral